CCUCGGACGACUUGGCGCUCCGGGACAGCAGCAGACGCCCAAGCUCCGGCAGCGCAGAGCCCCGCCGGGGGCCCGGGGGGCUGGGAGCCGGGGAUCGCGGGGACGGAAGUGGGGGACCGAGUCUCGCGAGCCCGGGCCCUCCUCGCAGCUGGGGCCCCACUGGCGCCCCCGCGGGAGCGCUACGGGAGAGGCGCCUAUGCGGCUGCAGGUUUUAUUAUGGAGCUGUCAAGGUAGAAAGGUACGGAGAACGGGAACCCACCGACAGCCAACUUCCCUUGGGACCCGCCUUUUGCUUUAAAAACAACAACGACAAGUCUGUGCUUCACCCCACACAUGCCUUUCGUUUUCCCUUUUUUCCCAGAGUAAUUUUAAAGCAUCCCAGUGGAUAAAUUCUCCUUUAAAUACUCGAGUAUGUUUAAUCAGUAAGGCCUAUUUUUUUAAACAUUCUCAUAGUAUUACGGUCACACCUAACGAAAUUGGCAAUUCCCAGUCCGGGCCUGAGGGAGGCCUGAUGGUUCACAAGACUUGGUAAAAUAUAUCAUUAUAUUUUAAACCAAAAAAUAAAUGAUAAGGCACCUCCCCGUUCCCAACCACCAAAUCAUCCGAAUGGACUUCUUCCUCAGCCAGGACUUUUAGAAUUUAACCUGAAAAACUGGUUCAGGCCAUAAGGGGAAGUGGAGGCCGAACAUGCCUCAUUAUCCCUCUCCUGCAUUAACAUCAACACAGACUUUAAGUCUGAUAAGAAACAUUUUACAGCCUCUUCUCUCUGAAGCCUGCUACCCUAUCCGAAUACUUCAUCUGCGUGAUAAAACACAUUGGUCUCCACAACCUCUUAACCCAGACAUUCCUUUCUUUAAUCCCAGGUCUUUGGACAAACUCAACCAAUUGUCAACCAGAAAAUGUUUAAGUUGACCUAUACCCUAGAACCACCCUCCCCCUCUUUGAGUUUUCCUGCCUUUCUGGAUCAAACAAAUUUAUUUCUUAAAUGAACUUAACUUGAAGUCUCAUGCCUCCUCAGAAUGUAUUAAACCAAGCUGCACCCCGACCUCCUUGGGCACAUGUUCUCAAGACCUCCUGAAGGCUGUGUCACUGGCUGUGGUCACUCAUAUUUGGCUCACAAUAAAUCUCUUCAAAUAUUUUACAGAGUUUGACUCUUCCACAAUAAUUUGGCACCCAGCGUGGGGCCUCAGAGAAGACUCAGGACCCCAAAGGAGUUGCCUGAACUCGGAGCGAAGAUACCAGUGGGGCCCAUUGAAGCCUCCCAGACUUCUAGCUUCUCCCCCGAUGGAACUGGUUAAGUUCUCCUGAGCCCCAGAUCGCCCUUUGGUUGACAGUCCUUCGUUUAGUGUGAGCUGGUUUUUCUCCUAGGAAGUUGUUGUUUAAGGAUUCUAAUUCUAGUUCAGAGACACAUUCUAAAGGGUUUUCUUUAUUGCUUUUUCUCCCAAAAUUAAUCUUGAUUCGGCUUGUCUGCGCAUUUGUGUGAGGAAUUGAACUGUUGUUUUCAUAGGUAAAUGAGAGACUGAGUUUUCUCAACUCCAAAGAGAAAGGCAUUUGCUCCUCCCAGCCAAAACGUGCUCCUGGGUGACUGGGGGCCUUGUGGGAGUGUCUGGGGGGGGGUUGACAUCCUGUGACAUGCAGCAGCCCUAUGGGGAAAUCCCCAACAAAAAUUAAUUUUAAAAAUGGCUUGUCCAGGAAUGCAUAUAAGGACUGAUCACCCAUCAUUUUGAGCCCUCUCAAAGGUAAUAGACCUCUGGAGAGAGAAACUGAGACAUGUAACAGGGUGGAAACAACUCAGUGGUGACACAUGGUGGGGUCCUGCCCACAAGCAGCACACAUUGAUCCACCACACAAAAACCCUAGGCCACAGCUCAGUUCCUACUUCUAAGAAAAAAAAAGGUGGGAAACAAAUGAUCUAAGAAUGAGGAGAAAACAAGGAGAAUGACCUCAUUUCGGGCACUCUGUUGGUUUUAUGGUGCGUCUACUUGCCAGAGCUUAUGUAAAAUGGAAAUAUAAUGAUCCUUGUGCACAUUUACAUUAAGGAAAAGAGCCCUAAGGUCAACCUGUACACUAUAGAGUUCCUAAGUUCUCUUCUUCUCUAUAUUUUCUGCCUGCUUUAAAUCUGCUUUUACUUUUGUACUGAAAUUAAAAACCACUGUUUGGAUCUAACCUAUUUUUCUUUUUCUUUGUUUUCUUGUUUUUUUUUUUUUUUUUUUUUUUUUUUUUGCAAGCUGGGGAAUUUGUAUUUAUCUCAUGGCUAAAGUUCUGAAGUAAAAGCUAUAGGAUCUGUGUGUGUGUGUGUGUGUGUGUGUGUGUGUGUGUGUGUGUAUUUAAAAGGAUUUUAUAAUAGACUUCUAUAAUUUUGUUUAAAUGGCAAAUUAAAUCCAUUUUAAUUUCCCUCUAGCAAACCAGACUGUCUCUUGGUACUUUGAGAUGUAAAUUUUGCUAUCUGAUUUUUCACCUAAGAGUUGUUUCCUUUAAUAUGCAAAUGUAGGACUAUUUAGCUGACAACUGCCCAGGGUGAUGAAACAGGCUAUCAUGAAUUUAAAAGUCUAAGGGAAAAAGAGGUCUUACAAAUACAUAAGAUGUACUUCUAUUGCCAUGCCUAAUACGCUAUGCAUUUAUGUGUUGUGUACACAAUGUGUCACUACUAAAAAUAUGUAAAAGAGCUCUAAUUAGCUUAAGUAAAAAUAAAAGCACUUAAAUACUUGAUCAAAAAAUACUAAUCAAUGCUUUUCAAGUUCACGUGACAAGUAAAAUAUUUAAUAAAUAAACUGUCUUUAAAAUCAUUGGUAAAAAAAAUUAAAAUGUUCUAAGAAUUGUUAGUAUUUUUGUUUGCAUUUAUUGAUCAAGUAGCUUCAUGCUUAUUCCUUCAGAAUACUAUAAGAUUAGCCAUAGGGUUAUAAAACUAUAAAACCCAGCCCAAGACAGAAUGAUCUUUGCUUGUAUAAUUUUUGAUAAAUAAGACAUGGAAUAUGGUUGGUUUAAUGAAAACAGCUAAAUCAUGAGUUACUGGAAAAAAUACUCUUAUAUUUAAUCAUAAGUUCAUUAUUGAAGUAAACACCUGAAAUUCACAGCUAUAAAAAUGGUUAACAGGGAAAUAACUUCAAUAAUGACUGUCACAGUUUUUGUUAAUAAUCCAGGUAAACAAAUAAAUUAAUCAGGUAAAGGUAAUGGAAUAAGUGUUUGUAAACAAACGUCAUAUAAUUUAGGACCUCAGGUUAUUAAUAAGUAUUAAGUAUCUGGGUAAUUUCCAAUUUAAAAAUUAUAGAAAAACUUUUUUUUAAAUGGUAAAUAUCUUUUUCUAAUUCAAAGCUUAUUUAAAGGUUAUGUAUAAAACAAGGUAAAAGGAACUAGGAAAUAAGAGAUGUAGAGAAACAUAAGACAUAAAGAGGUAAUUUUUGGUAAAGAAGGUAAAAAGGAAAGUGAUACUAUAUAAGAAAGAAUCUUGUGUAGCGAAUUUUUGUCCUAAAAUAAAAUGACUAGGUUGUUCAAGAAAGAUAUUUAGGACAGAACAGAAAAUUUAAGCAUGUUGUGAAUGGUCUAUGUAAGUUGUAAUAAGGUUAGUAAAAGGAAUUUGUUUAAAAAAAAAAAGAUUGUAUAAUGCAGUUGGCUAUGAUUAAGAAGAAAUUAUAGUAGUCUUUCUAGAGAUGGGUCUUUGAUAUUUAAAAAA
Molecule: long non-coding RNA, 3670 nt
Filed under: Homo sapiens (human)
Lineage: Eukaryota; Metazoa; Chordata; Mammalia; Primates; Hominidae
Description: non-protein coding lnc-ROPN1B-2:7
Source: RNAcentral